This 563-nucleotide ribosomal RNA is filed under the name uncultured bacterium. RNAcentral describes it as "bacterial SSU rRNA". It matches the Rfam family "Bacterial small subunit ribosomal RNA", at positions 338 to 916 of the family's 1533-position model. The record is from RNAcentral.
CCUACGGGAGGCAGCAGUGGGGAAUCUUGCGCAAUGGGCGAAAGCCUGACGCAGCAACGCCGCGUGCGGGAAGAAGGCUUUCGGGCUGUAAACCGCUUUCAGCAGGAACGAAAAUGACGGUACCUGCAGAAGAAGGAGCGGCCAACUAUGUGCCAGCAGCCGCGGUGAUACAUAGGCUUCAAGCGUUGUCCGGAUUUAUUGGGCGUAAAGAGUUCGUAGGCGGCCGAGUAAGUCGGGUGUGAAAAUUCUGGGCUCAACCCAGAGACGCCACCCGAUACUGCUUGACUUGAGUUCGAUAGGGGAGUGGGGAAUUCCUAGUGUAGCGGUGAAAUGCGCAGAUAUUAGGAGGAACACCGGUGGCGAAGGCGCCACUCUGGAUCGAUACUGACGCUGAGGAACGAAAGCAUGGGUAGCAAACAGGAUUAGAUACCCUGGUAGUCCAUGCCGUAAACGGUGGGCACUAGGUGUGGGUUUCUAUUAACGAAAUCCGCGCCGUCGCUAACGCAUUAAGUGCCCCGCCUGGGGAGUACGGUCGCAAGACUAAAACUUAAAUGAAUUGACGG